Rosa rugosa (rugosa rose) is the source of this 312-nucleotide long non-coding RNA. RefSeq lists it as uncharacterized. The record is from RefSeq and is a predicted model, not a curated record. The transcript is spliced from 3 exons. Lineage: Eukaryota; Viridiplantae; Streptophyta; Magnoliopsida; Rosales; Rosaceae.
CUCUAUAUCUUUCAACAGAUGAUUGGUCUGACAAAGUCAACCUUUGGCACGGCUUUUGUUCAAUGUCUGGACAUCAACACUCGGAUGAAAUAUAUACCAGCAUGGGAGUUUGUCCAUAGCAUGACCUACUAUGGGAAACCCUGACUGGAAGGGAGCAUCUGCUUUUUUAGGGAAGACUUGAGAACCUCAAAGGUUCUGGAUUAAGACAAGCAGUGGAAGAAUCUUUGAAAAGUGUCAAUCUGUUUCAUGGUGGGGUUGCAGACAAAAGAGCUGGAAAGUAUAGUGGAGGUAUGAAGAGAAGGCUUAGCGUCG